GAUGAACGCUGGCGGCGUGCUUAACACAUGCAAGUCGAACGAAGCACUUUAACCUGAUUCUUCGGAUGCAGGUUUUUGUGACUGAGUGGCGGACGGGUGAGUAACGCGUGGGUAACCUGCCUCAUACAGGGGGAUAACAGUUAGAAAUGACUGCUAAUACCGCAUAAGACCACAGAGCCGCAUGGCUCGGUGGGAAAAACUCCGGUGGUAUGAGAUGGACCCGCGUCUGAUUAGGUAGUUGGUGGGGUAACGGCCUACCAAGCCAACGAUCAGUAGCCGACCUGAGAGGGUGACCGGCCACAUUGGGACUGAGACACGGCCCAAACUCCUACGGGAGGCAGCAGUGGGGAAUAUUGCACAAUGGGGGAAACCCUGAUGCAGCGACGCCGCGUGAGCGAAGAAGUAUUUCGGUAUGUAAAGCUCUAUCAGCAGGGAAGAAAAUGACGGUACCUGACUAAGAAGCACCGGCUAAAUACGUG
Molecule: ribosomal RNA, 479 nt
Filed under: uncultured bacterium
Lineage: Bacteria
Description: partial 16S ribosomal RNA
Rfam family: Bacterial small subunit ribosomal RNA
Source: RNAcentral